Long non-coding RNA from Pezoporus flaviventris, 404 nucleotides. RefSeq lists it as uncharacterized. The record is from RefSeq and is a predicted model, not a curated record. Lineage: Eukaryota; Metazoa; Chordata; Aves; Psittaciformes; Psittacidae. The transcript is spliced from 3 exons.
UCCAGCCUGGUGUUCCCGCUCACCCGAAUCCGAGAUGUCAUCCCAAUAGGGCGAAUCAAACUCAUACUCGGCCCGCAGAAUCUGCUCAAAGAGUUUGGCAUCGUUCUCAUCAUAGAACGGGGGGUACUUGACGGCAUCGAGGAUCUGCCGGAUCAGGGCGCUGGCAUCCCGCUCCGUGUAGAAACCCUUCUCGACGAUGCGGUCAAAGAGCUCUCCCCCCGAGACCCUAAGAGGGGCAGCACGGUCAGCAUGGCCCCCUCUGGACACCCCGGUGCCCCCCCAUCAUCACUCACAGCUGCAUGAUGAGGUAGAGCGCCUUCUUAGCGAUGCACUUGAUGGCCACGAGCUUCCGCGUCGCCUUCUCCUCCGCCAGGACCACCUCGGAGAAGGCCCCCCUAUGGGGA